RNAcentral lists this ribosomal RNA (677 nucleotides) under uncultured archaeon. Its description in RNAcentral is "bacterial SSU rRNA". It matches the Rfam family "Archaeal small subunit ribosomal RNA", at positions 195 to 872 of the family's 1478-position model. The record is from RNAcentral.
UCGUCCGCCCAAGGAUGGGUCUGCGGCCUAUCAGGUAGUAGUGGGUGUAAUGUACCUACUAGCCAACAACGGGUACGGGUUGUGAGAGCAAGAGCCCGGAGAUGGAUUCUGAGACAUGAAUCCAGGCCCUACGGGGCGCAGCAGGCGCGAAAACUUUACAAUGCGGGAAACCGUGAUAAGGGAACACCGAGUGCCAGCAUCAUAUGCUGGCUGUCCAGAUGUGUAAACUACAUCUGUUAGCAAGGGCCGGGCAAGACCGGUGCCAGCCGCCGCGGUAACACCGGCGGCCCGAGUGGUGACCGUUAUUAUUGGGUCUAAAGGGUCCGUAGCCGGUUUGGUCAGUCCUCCGGGAAAUCUGAUAGCUUAACUGUUAGGCUUUCGGGGGAUACUGCCAGGCUUGGAACCGGGAGAGGUAAGAGGUACUACAGGGGUAGGAGUGAAAUCUUGUAAUCCCUGUGAGACCACCUGUGGCGAAGGCGUCUUACCAGAACGGGUUCGACGGUGAGGGACGAAAGCUGGGGGCACGAACCGGAUUAGAUACCCGGGUAGUCCCAGCCGUAAACUAUGCUCGCUAGGUGUCAGGCAUGGCGCGACCGUGUCUGGUGCCGCAGGGAAGCCGUGAAGCGAGCCACCUGGGAAGUACGGCCGUAAGGCUGAAACUUAAAGGAAUUGGCGGG